This 251-nucleotide ribosomal RNA is filed under the name uncultured bacterium. Its description in RNAcentral is "partial 16S ribosomal RNA". It matches the Rfam family "Bacterial small subunit ribosomal RNA", at positions 524 to 774 of the family's 1533-position model. The record is from RNAcentral. RNAcentral also lists the same sequence under 1 other name.
UACGUAGGUGGCAAGCGUUGUCCGGAUUUAUUGGGCGUAAAGCGAGCGCAGGCGGUUUCUUAAGUCUGAUGUGAAAGCCCCCGGCUCAACCGGGGAGGGUCAUUGGAAACUGGGAGACUUGAGUGCAGAAGAGGAGAGUGGAAUUCCAUGUGUAGCGGUGAAAUGCGUAGAUAUAUGGAGGAACACCAGUGGCGAAGGCGGCUCUCUGGUCUGUAACUGACGCUGAGGCUCGAAAGCGUGGGGAGCAAACA